UGGGGAAUAUUGCACAAUGGGCGCAAGCCUGAUGCAGCCAUGCCGCGUGUGUGAAGAAGGCCUUCGGGUUGUAAAGCACUUUCAGCGAGGAGGAAGGUGGUGAACUUAAUACGUUCAUCAAUUGACGUUACUCGCAGAAGAAGCACCGGCUAACUCCGUGCCAGCAGCCGCGGUAAUACGGAGGGUGCAAGCGUUAAUCGGAAUUACUGGGCGUAAAGCGCACGCAGGCGGUUUGUUAAGUCAGAUGUGAAAUCCCCGGGCUCAACCUGGGAACUGCAUUUGAAACUGGCAAGCUAGAGUCUCGUAGAGGGGGGUAGAAUUCCAGGUGUAGCGGUGAAAUGCGUAGAGAUCUGGAGGAAUACCGGUGGCGAAGGCGGCCCCCUGGACGAAGACUGACGCUCAGGUGCGAAAGGCGUGGGGGAGCAAACAGGAUUAGAUACCCUGGUAGUCCACGCUGUAAACGAUGUCGAUUUUGGAGGUUGUG
This 484-nucleotide ribosomal RNA is filed under the name uncultured bacterium. RNAcentral describes it as "partial 16S ribosomal RNA". It matches the Rfam family "Bacterial small subunit ribosomal RNA", at positions 355 to 829 of the family's 1533-position model. The record is from RNAcentral.